GAAUCCAUAGGUUAAUGAGGCGAACCGGGAGAACUGAAACAUCUCAGUACCCCGAGGAAAAGAAAUCAACCGAGAUUCCCCUAGUAGCGGCGAGCGAACGGGGAGCAGCCCAGAGUCUUAAUCAAUAACAGUGUCAGGAGAACGGUCUGGAAAGUCCGGCAGUAAAGGGUGAUAGCCCCGUAUCUGAAGAUGCUGUUAUUGUGAACUCGACGAGUAGGGCGGGACACGUGUUAUCCUGUCUGAAUAUGGGGGGACCAUCCUCCAAGGCUAAAUACUCCUGAUUGACCGAUAGUGAACCAGUACCGUGAGGGAAAGGCGAAAAGAACCCCGGCGAGGGGAGUGAAAAAGAACCUGAAACCGUGUACGUACAAGCAGUAGGAGCCUCUUUAUGGGGUGACUGCGUACCUUUUGUAUAAUGGGUCAGCGACUUAUAUUCUGUAGCGAGGUUAACCGUAUAGGGGAGCCGUAGGGAAACCGAGUCUUAACUGGGCGAAUGAGUUGCAGGGUAUAGACCC
This 515-nucleotide ribosomal RNA is filed under the name Proteus mirabilis. Its description in RNAcentral is "partial 23S ribosomal RNA". It matches the Rfam family "Bacterial large subunit ribosomal RNA", at positions 160 to 716 of the family's 2925-position model. The record is from RNAcentral. Lineage: Bacteria; Pseudomonadati; Pseudomonadota; Gammaproteobacteria; Enterobacterales; Morganellaceae.